GUUGUCCACAUAUCUCAGGAACCACUUCACAUAUCGGGUGAAGGGGAUCCGGAGAGUGUGGACAUACGUUAAUUCAAAAAUUGCAAGAUACAUGUUUGCUAAAGUACAUGAAACAGGGGACCCCACUGGGGUCCCGUGUGUUUAUACCAAGUAUUGUCACAAAUAAUCUGGGGAGCACGCAGGAGUUUUCUUUAGGGUUUUAAAAACAUAAAAUAUUGCCGCCACACCAGGACGACAAUUUACUACUGCAGUGAUGAAUACAAUCAUAAUGUUAUUAUAUAAAAACCAGCAUAUACUGUAGAGACAAAUAUCUCCAUUAUACAAGGGAAAAAUAAUUACACCACACCAUGAGCCAUAUAGGGACUGGAUAAUACCACCAUACUGAUAUUGAAUAAAGCCACUAUACACAGACCAGUAUCACUAAUAGCACCACUAUACAAGGGACAAAUGAUUCUAAUGUACCAUGACUACACAUUACUACUAGAGAUGAACACAUUUUUUUAUUUGUUUUGAUCCGAAUCUCUAUUAAACACUGCUAUUUCCGGCCUACAGAGAGCCUCAAUAGGGGUGUAGAACACUUUGCCUUGUCCUAACACGCAUAGGGAGUGUGCAAUGUUAGUGAAAUUAUACUGUUAUUCAGUAUGACAUGCAGAUUACAGGCAUCACUAUUAGAAUCACUGCCACAGAGCGUCUGGAUGUGGCAGCAGGGUAACAAGACUAUAUGGCAUCACAAUUGAAGAGAUUUAAGAGAUAUUUUAUGUAAUUUUUAUUUUUAUUUUAUUUGAAUUAAUUUUAAUUUUUUUAAAUCCUUUUUUGAGGACCUAUUCUGGUGAGCAUCGAGCUAGCGGUCCACCACGAGGCGAGCUACAACCUGUUCCAAACCCCUGCCUCUCAUCACUCCUACCUGUUUCAUUGGAUUCUUGUGGUAAUUCCAGAGGUGAGAAAAAAAGUAACAAAGCUCUAUUUAUGUAACAAGGACUUCAAAGACAAGGGGACACCUCGGCGACGCGGCGACAAUGAUGGACGGCGACAUUCCGGGCAGCGGUCACGAGCGGUGAUGGUCUGGAGCGGCGGGGACAAUUUCUGGUAUGGUAAUGAGAGACAAUACCUCACAUCGUCCAGGAGAUAUAUUCAUCGCUGUGAGAUAUAGGAAGAUUCCUGAGAACUGCGGCGAUCAACUCAGUGAGAACUGACAAGAACUGAAUGAGCCUUGAAAUGAUUUUCUCCAAGAAAAUGUUCCUUCUGCCUGACAUUUUAUACGUUUAUAUAUUAGUUUUUACUAUG
Long non-coding RNA from Hyla sarda, 1284 nucleotides. RefSeq lists it as uncharacterized. The record is from RefSeq and is a predicted model, not a curated record. The transcript is spliced from 4 exons. NCBI's taxonomy places the organism in Eukaryota, Metazoa, Chordata, Amphibia, Anura, Hylidae.